AUGAACGCUAGCGACAGGCCUAACACAUGCAAGUCGAGGGGCAGCACAAGGAGCAAUCUGAGGUGGCGACCGGCGCACGGGUGAGUAACACGUAUGCAACCUGCCUGUAAGCGGGGAAUAACCCGUUGAAAGACGGACUAAUACCGCAUAAUACUAAAUUACUGCAUGGUAAUUUAUUUAAACAUUUAUGGCUUACAGAUGGGCAUGCGCAUGAUUAGCUAGUUGGAGAGGUAACGGCUCCCCAAGGCAACGAUCAUUAGGGGUUCUGAGAGGAAGGUCCCCCACACUGGUACUGAGACACGGACCAGACUCCUACGGGAGGCAGCAGUGAGGAAUAUUGGUCAAUGGACGAGAGUCUGAACCAGCCAAGUCGCGUGCAGGAAGAAUGUCCCUAUGGAUUGUAAACUGCUUUUGCGGGGGAAUAAAGUGCAUCACGUGUGAUGUUUUGUAUGUACUCUGCGAAUAAGGAUCGGCUAACUCCGUGCCAGCCGCAGC
RNAcentral lists this ribosomal RNA (495 nucleotides) under uncultured bacterium. RNAcentral describes it as "bacterial SSU rRNA". It matches the Rfam family "Bacterial small subunit ribosomal RNA", at positions 29 to 518 of the family's 1533-position model. The record is from RNAcentral.